UGUGUAGGCGGUUCUUUAAGUUUGGUGUGAAAUCUCCCGGCUCAACCGGGAGGGUGCGCCGAAUACUGAGGGACUCGAGUGCGGGAGAGGAAAGUGGAAUUCCUGGUGUAGCGGUGAAAUGCGUAGAUAUCAGGAGGGACACCGGUGGUGUAGACGGCUUUCUGGACCGUAACUGACGCUGAGACACGAAAGCGUGGGUAGCAAACA
RNAcentral lists this ribosomal RNA (207 nucleotides) under uncultured bacterium. RNAcentral describes it as "partial 16S ribosomal RNA". It matches the Rfam family "Bacterial small subunit ribosomal RNA", at positions 568 to 774 of the family's 1533-position model. The record is from RNAcentral.